This is a long non-coding RNA of Dromaius novaehollandiae (emu), 2551 nucleotides long. RefSeq lists it as uncharacterized. The record is from RefSeq and is a predicted model, not a curated record. The transcript is spliced from 3 exons. NCBI's taxonomy places the organism in Eukaryota, Metazoa, Chordata, Aves, Casuariiformes, Dromaiidae.
AGAAACCAUAGGCAUUUCAUUCCAUUUUUCCCCUGGAGUGGAAGGGAGCUGCAAAUUGGUUAUGGAGAGUGAAAAUGAUAAUGCACUAUAGAGAAAUACGGGCCAGAUAAGACAGCAGAGGCCUUGAGAAGCAGAGACACCAGAUGCGGCAUAAAGGAGUACAGGCAUGGAGUGAUAAUAGAUGGGGCACAGGCUGGCACUUCAGACCCCACAGCUAUAAACAGCUCACCAAUGGUCAGUUAAAGAAAUGCACACCUAGAGCUGGACAAAACUUGUUUCAGGUGUAACAAACUGAAGAAAGAAAUUGUAUCUAACAUUUGUAAAAGGCACCAUACAUAGCAAAUUCAGAUGUGCUAUGGAGCUGAAGACCAAUGAAGAAAGAGCAAGGUGUAAAAGCAUGUAAGCAAAUGUAUAAAAAUGACCCCAAGUGGAUCCUAGAUUGAGGAAGACACCAUCAAGAUGAACAUCUUAUUCCUCCCAGUGAAGGACUCCAGAUGCUGACAACUCGUCACGACACCCCGCAUUUCCACUGCCAGAAAAAUACGCCAACCUUGGGACCCUGAGGAGCAGAAGAAGGAUGAGCAUGAGAGCAGGAUAAAGGGUAAAAACUGAGAGAGAAGAGAAAAGAGAGAGAAGAGAAGAGAAGAGAAGAGAAGAGAAGAGAAUGAAGCAAAGAAAAAAAUAUCCAACUGUAAACAUCAUCCAUUUGAAGGUGCAAAAUAAGAAAAUGUAAUACAAAAACCAGAAUCUUUUAAAAAUGACUGAAAUAUUUCCUAAAAAUUUUAUUUUCCUCUUUUCUUAUCUUUAGCUUAAAUUUAUUUGUGUUUAAGUUUAUUCUACUUAUCCCAGGUGGUAAAUAUGGUGUCAUACAAGUUUAAAAAAACUCAAACCCCAAGGAUCUAAUCCUAGAUUAGAUCAGCUGAGCUUUAUCUAAAAACUAUGUUCUUUCAGAACAUGCAGUGAUUUCAUCAUUACUCUGCCUCUGGAUUAAAUUAAUCCUUUUCUGUUUCUUUUGGGAAUUUAGCAAUGCCCUUUAUAGCAGGGCUUUUUUCAUCUCACAAUGGUGUUGUUGUAUACGAGUUGGCCUUUGAUAAUGCAAUCUUGUUUCCAUGGUCUGCAUCCAUUUGAAGGGGAUGUCCUGAUUUAAUUAAAGACUGCAACUGUGCAUUCCCUGUAUGGUUAUGUUCAAAAGCACAGAGCACUGCGAGCUUCCCUUGCUUGCCCCAAACUGAAACAAAUUGUUUUUGAAGCUGACAGGUUGAGGUGGAGUUCCCAAUUGUGUGGCCUAAUUUCCUGUUAUCUUACUGUCAGGAAAUAGCUGGUGCCCCACUCCCAGCAGGAGUGAGGAGGGGUAGCACCACUGCAAUACGCCGGUUGGACGGCUGGAAUACUUCUGCUGGUAUCCAGGAGCCACACAAAAUGUGGCAUUUCCCUCUUGGGAACAAAAAAAAAAAAAAAGAAAAAAGAAAAAAAAAAAGAAAGGAAAAAUCAAUAUAUAGAAAUUAAUGUGCCUUUGUGAAGAUUCAAAACAGAUGGGGAAAAGGUCAAGGAUUCUUUGUUGCUAAGUGCGUUUCUAUGACAACUGCAAUAUGUAUGUUAUGAGUGAGCAAUCAUUUGUUCCAGCUGCUGGAUCAUUAAAGUGGUAGCAUCUCCCAGAACACUGGAAAUGUUAUUCAUGGCUUAUUUACUUUUUCUUUGCCACCCCUUUAAAUCAAGGUUCAACAGGUAGCACUCUGUAAGCACAUGAAAGCCUCAGUCAAUCUGAGCAUGCUAAACCACAGGUCUGUGUGAGUCCAUGCUGCACAGUGAGUACCUUGCAGGAUGCUGGGGGAGCUUACUAAGGAGAUUAGGGAGAUUAAUAUAGAUCCAGUCGUGCAAUUCAAUCUGUACACAUCUGAUGUUGGGCUGUGUUGGAUGCCUUUUCUGUAGAAUUUAUGGCAUGACUUCAGAGAGGUCUGAGACUUGUCUCUCUUCAGUCCACUACAGCAUGGGAAUAACAGUACGUACAAAGACUUAAAAAAUGUUUGGAUGUCAUCCUACAAAAAGUUAAUUAACUAAAGUGUCAAUAGUAAAACACUCCUUUCUUCACAUGUUGAAAUAAAAGGACAAAGUUUUCAUCACCGCCUGGUUUUCCAUGCUCCAUUUACUAUGACAGCAUGGGGAUCCGGUGCAAGAAGCACAAGUUUCAUUCGGAUUCAAUUUUAUGAGCCUUUCCAUUUAUGUCAUUUCACUAACUUCAUUUUCUGUUGUUUUCAUGGAAGAAUAAAACUAUAAUGGGGUUGAUACAGGGUCAAUAUCCAUUGCCAGGGAUAUUGAUGACCGAGUUGGGUAUUAUUUCUGUUCCGUGAAUUGUGUAUCUGGAAAAGGUGGCCACAUCAGUGUCUCUCAGCCUACCACUCAGUCAUUUCUGGUUGCACGUGAGCCACUCUGUCUUCCCUCGCGGUGCUGUAGCUGACAGCCAGAAAACACCUCUCUAACUUUCAAUAUGACGUCUUGUAGAAAAUUUCAAAGUCUAUUUAUUGAUUAAAAGAAAAAGGAAAAAGAAAUAGUC